This 458-nucleotide ribosomal RNA is filed under the name uncultured bacterium. Its description in RNAcentral is "partial 16S ribosomal RNA". It matches the Rfam family "Bacterial small subunit ribosomal RNA", at positions 338 to 795 of the family's 1533-position model. The record is from RNAcentral.
CCUACGGGGGCAGCAGUGAGGAAUAUUUGUCAAUGGCCGGAAGGCUGAACCAGCCAAGCCGCGUGAAGGACGAAGGUGCCAAGCAUUGUAAACUUCUUUUGUCAAGGGACAAAAUCAGGCUCGAGAGCCUGACCGAGGGUACUUGAAGAAAAAGCAUCGGCAAACUCCGUGCCAGCAGCCGCGGUAAUACGGGGGGUGCGAGCGUUAUCCGGAUUUAUUGGGUUUAAAGGGGGCGUAGGCGGGCUGUUAAGUCAGCGGUAAAAGCCCGGGGCUAAACCCCGGCGAGCCGUUGAAACUGGCUGUCUUGAGAUGUCGAGAGGUAGGCGGAAUGCGCAGUGUAGCGGGGAAAUGCUUAGAUAUUGCGCAGAACUCCGAUUGCGAAGGCAGCAUACCGGCGGCGAUCUGACGCUGAGGCACGAAAGCGUGGGUAUCGAACAGGAUUAGAUACCCGAGUAGUC